RNAcentral lists this unclassified non-coding RNA (194 nucleotides) under plant metagenome. RNAcentral's name for it is "partial contains small subunit ribosomal RNA and internal transcribed spacer 1". The stretch from base 1 to 46 matches the Rfam family "Eukaryotic small subunit ribosomal RNA", at positions 1786 to 1831 of the family's 1831-position model. The record is from RNAcentral.
AAGUCGUAACAAGGUCUCCGUAGGUGAACCUGCGGAGGGAUCAUUACUGAGUGAGGGUUUCGGCCCGACCUCCAACCCCAUGUAUUCCGACUCUGUUGCCUCGGGGGCGACCCUGCCUUCGGGCGUUGGGGCCCCCGGCGGACACCACAACUCUGCAUCUUUGCGUCUGAGUAACACUUUGAAUUAAAUCAAAA